GCAUUUAAGCUAACACAUCAAAGCUGACGGAUGUUUUACUUCAGAGCUUCUAAGCACAUCAAACAGACUGUCAAGCAUUCAUUGUGUUAAAAAUGAAGUGAGUGUGGCUAAACAAAAAAAUAAUAAAUCCAUAGUUCUGGCAGGUAAACGCCUACACCCUGACACUUCAAAGAUUUUGUCCGUUUGUGAUUUCAAAUCGACGGCGCUCUCCCGUGCGAUCAUUACGUCCUUGCUUAUUAUUUUUAAAGGGGUAAUAUUAUUAAAUUGCCACGUUCUUAAGGUGCUGAGAGACGCUCAGGUGCACACAGUGGCGCCCAUGGAAUCAAAGCGCUUCACGCAGCCGCGAAAGAAACCGGAGAGGUUUGGCAUCUCGCCCGAGCUACCCGAAAACUGCCUCAGGAAUCAAAUCCGACACGUCUCGCGGAGGAAUGAAUCUAAAAAGACGGAAACUGUUGCCCGUCGGUGCUCUCCAGAAUCAACUCGAGUGUGCCUGAGCCAAGAUGAUGCAAGUCAGGCGAACACCUACAGCGGGAUCAGCGGAGGAACGUGAAGCGUGGGUGGCGGCGCUACCCUCGCAGCAACCGAGCAAUGUUUUUUGUUUUUGCGUGGGUGAAUUCCCUACUCCGAAUCCUUUCCGGUUUCUGCAGGAACACAAUGAACGGAUGGCUAAUCCAAAUAGAAAGAAAAAUCAGAAGACUCCAUUUGGGCUCCUGACUGGGCUCUUUGACCCUCACCUGUCUCCUUGAGGCUCAAGUAGCCUAUCAGGUGGCUUCCGCGAGGUGGAUCCUUGCUUAGGACACCAGUCAGCCAACAAACGAGAAGUCAAUCACUCCUCCAACGAUGCAGGAGAACCUCACACACACACACACCCACACAUGCUCGUCCUCUCACCUCUGCUCACCUGAACACUCGAUACUGUUGAGUCACGGCUUUGCUAGCGUUUCAUCUCUUGACUCGCUCUAUUUCACGCAUUCUUUUUUGCUUGUUAAAUGAGCAGCCUCGAGGGGCCCCCGCGAGAAAAAUCACAGUGAGACGUCUGACAGCGUGUGUGUGUGUGUGUUCUUUUAUGAGAUAUAAACACAAGGAAAGGGAUGUGAGCUGGAGUGACCUCGCGGGAAGGCACACGUGUAGCCUACACAGCGCAUACAUCAAACAUAUCAUAAAGUAGCUUAACUGUUUGAGGAGUUAGUCAACGUCUACGGCUUUUGUUUUAUUUUAAAUUGACUAUCACAUACAUUGUUCUUGGGGACUCAAUCACAUUCUGAACACACAAAAGGAAAGAUGCUAAUGUUGCUAAAUGUAACCACGUAACAAUUACGUAUCUGUUGAGCACCAAACAAAAACGUGUAGAAACAUGUGUUAGCGUGUUAAUGAUUAGGAGGAAAGGGGCCAUUUGCAAGUAAGCAAUGGGAAUGUGGGCAGUGGUUUGCUAAGUGGCGCUAUCUGGGUCACAGGGCCAAGGCUAGCGGCCGCUCGCUAUCAGCCCGGCUCCUCACUCACGUGGAAAAGAGACCAGAGCACUUUGAUCCCCGUUUGUUUUUCGCCAAAUAAAACGACAACAGAGCUUAACCCCAUAGAACUCCAAGUCUGUAAUUACUAUAUAUGGUGGACUAGUGGUUAGCUAGCAUGUCUGUCUGAUAGUUUUGAGGUUCUGUGUUUGAACUCGAAGAAUAAUGCUAUUUGGACAAAAUGUCAGGUUGUAGUUUAACUUUCCAAAACUGACAUGGUGGGCUUGUAUAAACCACCUGAACGCUGUAAAACAUACAAACAAUAUAAAAGGAGUCAGUCUAUCGCUAACCUCCGCUAAAUCAUCAUUAGCGACUUCAAAUAUCAUAUACUGGUAAUCUGUAACAAUCUCAACUUCAGUGUCACCUCGUAAGCUCCUCAACAUGGUUCAAACUCCACUUUUGAGAGAUUGCAGGCAUAUGUUUCCAGAUCCUUCCAAAUCUCUCCAAAGCCAAGAUGACCAACGUAAUGACACAAAAAGCCCAAUUACAAUAAAUGUUUUGACCCUGCCGCCUUGUGUGCCAAUGCUGCCUCCAAUAAGACCGGGUCACUAUGAAAGAAAA
Molecule: long non-coding RNA, 2069 nt
Organism: Syngnathus acus (greater pipefish)
Lineage: Eukaryota; Metazoa; Chordata; Actinopteri; Syngnathiformes; Syngnathidae
Exons: 2
Source: RefSeq, a predicted model, not a curated record